GACGAACGCUGGCGGCGUGCUUAACACAUGCAAGUCGAACGGAAAGGCCCUGCUGUUGUGGGGUGCUCGAGUGGCGAACGGGUGAGUAACACGUGAGUAACCUGCCCUUGACUUUGGGAUAACUUCAGGAAACUGGGGCUAAUACCGGAUAGGAGCUCCUGCUGCAUGGUGGGGGUUGGAUAGGUUCGGCGGUUGGGGAUGGACUCGCGGCUUAUCAGCUUGUUGGUGGGGAAGUGGCUUACCAGGGCUUUGACGGGUGGCCGGCCGGAGGGGUGGACCGGCAACAUGGGGAUGGGGUAAGGGCCCGGCCCCCUCCGGGAGGAAGAGGGGGGGAUAAUUGCAAAAGGGGCGGAAGCCGGAGGAAGCACGGCGGGGGGGGGGUUGCCGGCCUCCGGUUGUAAACCGGUUUCCGCCGGGGACGAAGCGUGAGUGACGGUAACGGGAAAAGAAGCACCGGCUAACUACGUG
Molecule: ribosomal RNA, 468 nt
Filed under: uncultured bacterium
Lineage: Bacteria
Description: partial 16S ribosomal RNA
Rfam family: Bacterial small subunit ribosomal RNA
Source: RNAcentral